This 1171-nucleotide long non-coding RNA is filed under the name Equus caballus (horse). Its description in RNAcentral is "lncRNA (ENSECAG00000047439.1)". Lineage: Eukaryota; Metazoa; Chordata; Mammalia; Perissodactyla; Equidae. The record is from RNAcentral.
GCUGUUGCUACCUACUGGCACCUAGAGAAGAGCCACCAAGGAUGCUGCUCAACAUCCUACACUGGGGAAGACAGCUGCCUGCAACAAAGAAUCAUCCGGAAAAUGUCAAUAGUGCUAAGGUUGAGAAACCCUGACUUACUCAUUCAACAAGUAAGAAGUGCGUGCCUCUUAUGUGUUCAUACUGUUCUAGGAACUGUGAACAGCUCGACAAAACUCCUGCCUUCCCAGAGCUUACAUAGUAGUGGGAUAUACUGGAAGCUGAAUUUGUUCAAACUCAGUAUUUGCCAAAACAAGCAAAUAAACAAAAUUCGAGUUAUAAAAACAACCACUUUGGAUCUCAAAGAGAGUUCAUCUUGAAUCCCAACUACGAAAACCACUGAACCAAGCUGUGGUAGAUGGACUUGCAUUAUUCCAGCAAAUUAAAUCUUCUUCUCAGGGAAGAACGUACCUGCUUUCGUCUUCCUGUGUCUCUUGGAGCAAGGAGGAAAAAAUCUACUUCCUUUCUCUUUUCCUGCCAGCUGGGACCCAUAUGUGAUGAUAGGAGCAGGAGCAGCCACCUUGGAGUCAAAGAUGAAAGUCAUGUCUGGAGGAUGAUGUCAUCUGACCUCUGAUCUGUUACAAGAUAGCACUUUGUUCAUGCGAUUGUGUUUUGAAAUUUGUUUGGAGGUUUGUUAGAGUGCCUUAGACUGUACCCUGAUGCAAUGUCCCUCAAUGCUCAAUUCAAAUGGCAUGUACUCUGGGAAGAUUUCCAGAUUUCCACCUCCUUUGGUCAUAUACCAAUCAGAACUGAUCACUCUUAUCCCAGUGCUCUCUGUAUUUUGAAAAUAUUUUUAUCAGCACUUAUAAUCCUCUAGUUUUAUUAUAGUGAUUUUAAUUUAGUAUCAGUUGCCCAACAUAGAAGCCUUACCUAUGCUACUGCCUAAGCUGGGCACCCCUGUCCUGUGCUCUCAUAACACCCUGUACGUCUAUCCAACAACUAUACUUAAAUUUACUUUUUUAGUAUUUAUCUUCCUACUGUCCUGUAUAAGCUCCACAUGGACAGAACCUUGGCUGCCUUUCUGGUAACUGUAUCUCCAGUUCCCACAGGAAAUCUGGGACAUAACAGGCACAUAGCAAAUGUUUGUUGGAUAAACAAAUGAUCUCCUUAAAGUAUGGAUUACUUACAUUUGUA